ACCCUGGUAGUUUAAACGGAUUAAAACAACAGACUUCUACUCUGUACGAUGCAGGUUCGACUCCUGCCCAGGGUACCA
This 78-nucleotide transfer RNA is filed under the name Gammaproteobacteria bacterium. Its description in RNAcentral is "tRNA-Arg". It matches the Rfam family "tRNA". From Rfam's summary of the family: Transfer RNA (tRNA) molecules are approximately 80 nucleotides in length. Their secondary structure includes four short double-helical elements and three loops (D, anti-codon, and T loops). The record is from RNAcentral. Lineage: Bacteria; Pseudomonadati; Pseudomonadota; Gammaproteobacteria.